This 29-nucleotide transfer RNA is filed under the name Lilium nanum. RNAcentral's name for it is "partial tRNA-Leu". The record is from RNAcentral. Lineage: Eukaryota; Viridiplantae; Streptophyta; Magnoliopsida; Liliales; Liliaceae. RNAcentral also lists the same sequence under 5 other names.
AGUACUAACUUAACUAUACUUCCUUAACG